This 110-nucleotide unclassified non-coding RNA is filed under the name Chryseobacterium formosense. RNAcentral's name for it is "Flavo-1 RNA". The record is from RNAcentral. Lineage: Bacteria; Pseudomonadati; Bacteroidota; Flavobacteriia; Flavobacteriales; Weeksellaceae.
GUUUAGCCCUGAUUGAGCGGCCUGUUUGAGCUCUUUUCUGGUUUUAGUUGCGGCGGCGAAGCCGCCGCAACUAAAACCAGAAAAAGCGAGUAGCGAAAGCAGGAAAAAGC